RNAcentral lists this ribosomal RNA (492 nucleotides) under uncultured bacterium. RNAcentral describes it as "partial 16S ribosomal RNA". It matches the Rfam family "Bacterial small subunit ribosomal RNA", at positions 29 to 507 of the family's 1533-position model. The record is from RNAcentral.
AGUGAACGCUGGCGGUAGGCCUAACACAUGCAAGUCGAACGGCAGCACAGUAAGAGCUUGCUCUUACGGGUGGCGAGUGGCGGACGGGUGAGGAAUACAUCGGAAUCUACUUUUUCGUGGGGGAUAACGUAGGGAAACUUACGCUAAUACCGCAUACGACCUACGGGUGAAAGCAUGGGAUCUUCGGACCUUGCGCGAUUGAAUGAGCCGAUGUCGGAUUAGCCAGUUGGCGGGGUAAAGGCCCACCAAGGCGACGAUCCGUAGCUGGUCUGAGAGGAUGAUCAGCCACACUGGAACUGAGACACGGUCCAGACUCCUACGGGAGGCAGCAGUGGGGAAUAUUGGACAAUGGGCGCAAGCCUGAUCCAGCCAUACCGCGUGGGUGAAGAAGGCCUUCGGGUUGUAAAGCCCUUUUGUUGGGAAAGAAAAGCAGCAGGUUAAUACCCCGCUGUUCUGACGGUACCCAAAGAAUAAGCACCGGCUAACUUCGUG